UAUUAUAUUCAUAAGUCGUCAGGUGGGAAGAGUUCCGAGUAUAUUUUUGACCAUUUACUGGCUCGAAAAUUUUGCAGUGUGUGGCGGUUACCCAUAGUUUUCGAAGUUUUUUAUUUUUUAGAAAACGAUAUUUCCCAAUAUUUUGUUUACCAACCAUACAGUGCUGUACUCUGGCGAGAUAAAUGUGCAGUAAUACUCCCAUCCAAUGACCAAAGAUUCUAUUCUUUAUGAGGUAGUACUUAUUAAAUCCAUGUUUAAGUACUGUCACUGUCACUCGUGUCAUGUCAGUCAAGCAAACAAGUCAACGUUAAAGAAGGUUAAGGAUUGGGGGAGGGUUUUGUUGUUUUGUUUUCUGGGAGGAGCAGGCAAAAAUAAGAAAAUAGAGUGAAUGAACCAGAAAUACCUUGAAAUCUUUGAUUUUAUGUAAAUAAACAACAUUACUAUAUUUUUUAAAAUCUAUACCUAUAUAUCAUACGUACCUACAUAUAAUACAACAAAAAAGGUGAAUUAGAAUAAAGAUAUACUCUCAGGUACGAUUUCUAUGUUAUUAUCUUUCACAUAAUAAAGAAAAAUUCAUUGAUCAAUUUUGCUCAUUAGCAAAAUAAGUGACUGCAGAUACUAAAUUGAACCGGAAAAAUUUGAUAGUAGAAAUACCUGUUUCAUCUUGUCACCAGUCACAUCUGUUGAUGUUAAUAGAAUUGUCUAAGGAAAUGAACACAUUAAAUGAGAAACAAAGCAAGCGGUAUAAAAAAAAGUAUAAGUAUCUCAAAUUAAGAAUUAAAAGUUUAAUUUUAGAAAAUGCAGCCUUGUGUGAUGAAGUUGCUAAAAUUCAAGAAAGCAUACUUAUUGUCAAAGAUGAAAGAAAAUUUUUGCUGCGAAAAUUAUUAGAAUAUGAAAAUGAUAUGGAUAUUUCAGUGACAGUUCCAAAAACUGAGCCUACAGUUACAACCAAUGGUAAUUUAAGAGGAAAAGCUAAGAAACAACCAAGUUUCGAUGAGAGCAAUAAGAAUGUUGUGAUAUCCUAGUCUUAUUUUUUUUCAAUAAAUAAUUUAAAAACACCUUA
Molecule: long non-coding RNA, 1063 nt
Organism: Plodia interpunctella (Indianmeal moth)
Lineage: Eukaryota; Metazoa; Arthropoda; Insecta; Lepidoptera; Pyralidae
Exons: 2
Source: RefSeq, a predicted model, not a curated record